RNAcentral lists this long non-coding RNA (11578 nucleotides) under Sorghum bicolor (sorghum). Its description in RNAcentral is "long non-coding RNA (SBIC_LNC000158)". Lineage: Eukaryota; Viridiplantae; Streptophyta; Magnoliopsida; Poales; Poaceae. The record is from RNAcentral.
CACGCCCCACCUUCACGCCUCCAUGGAUCUGGUCAUGGACCCAUCACCGUCAAUGAACCGCACAUUGUGCAUAUAGGGUAGAAAAAUAGAUACUUGCUUAUGCUGUCGACAACUCAAGCAUCAUUUCGUAUACAUCAAUAUGCGAGUCUAUUAAAUUUAACUAAGAAAAUAUAAGUAUUAUUAUAUGCAAACAAACAACUGUUAUUCAAAUAUUGUCAAUGGAUAUGGAUACUUACAAGGAAAUAUUAAAUAUCUCACAAGCAAUAUGUCUAGUAAAUCAAAAUCAACUACAGGAAUGGAUCUUAACUUAUUAAGUGCCUGAUCUAGGUUUUGAAUCAGUAGUUAGUUUUCGCUCAGAUAAACAAAGUUUCAGCACCAACAAAUAUAAUAGCAACAUGUUAUAGGAGAGCGUAACCGAUAUACAUGAACCAAGCACUAACAGGAUCAAUCUGUUCUAUGAGCAAAUAGGUCAUGACUACCUGAUGAUUGUGCAGAGAAACAAGAAAGUGAUAGGUCACAACCUGAGACUGCACUUUGACUCCUUGCAUGUAAAGGUUUUUUUUUCGCUAACACGCCCGCCCCAGAAUGGACGUGUAUUUCAUUAAGCAGAAGUAGAAUCCAACCCAAAUACAGUUAAAAGAAACUAUUUGAAGAUAGGACACCAACUGUGUGUACCCAGGAAAGACUAAACUAUCUGAAGAUAGGACACCAUAUCCUAUUUGAACUACACUGAAAAUACAGAACCUGAAAACAUAGAUAGAGCAAGAAAUUCGGAAAACUUUGAAAUGCAGAACCGAUGCAACUGUAUAAGAAACAUUUGGCAGCUGCUACGGUCAGCUCAUUAAACUAUUCGGCUUGCAGCUUGAGCAGAAUUCUCCAUAAAGUAUAUAAUCAACUAACAAAUACGAUGUAGUAUCAUGAAUCAAUUUAGUUGCAUCAAAAUAAUCCCUUUGAGUGCAGCUAAAGCUCUAAAGGUCCAAUCCUAGUGUCAUACUACUAAACCCUAAAGAUAUGACAUUUUGAUAACACAAAUUACAGAGCACCUAUAAGACUAUAAUAUGGCCCAAAUCUAAAGCAAAUUUAAUACUAAACUUGAACACGUCUAAUAAAUUAAAAAUAAGACUGCAAUACUCCCAAAAAGCACGUUCAAGUAACCUUCAAACUGAAGCAAACUUAAUUAGCAUUUGUUGAUGCCACUGAAGCAAAAACAUAUAAUAAGCAGAUGGCGUACAACAGUGGAAAAUAAAAGAAGGUUCUUCAUUUUGACAAUAAAAUCAAUGUUGGAUACGGUGUAAAUAUAACCAAAAGACUGAAUUUGUCUGGCAAUUUCGCAAUACAGAUGAUAGCACACAUCAGUUCAGAUACAAACCUAUAAAUUCCGAUGCACUGAUGCUCCUGCCUCUUAUAGACUCACUCACUCAUCCUCCUUUCUUUGCAGUUUUACUUUGGUGUCAAAUGGAACAAUAAAUUAGCUUACAAGAUGGAACAAAAUAGUCCAGAUGCAAUAAGUAUAUGGGCUUACAUGUUACUGAUCCAAUGAAGCGCUAACCAUCUUGUUUAGUACUGUAUGGCCGAUGUUAUCUGAUUAAAACAAUAGCAGUACUUCAGCAGCAAGAAAUCAACAAUCAAAAUAUCAGGUAAGUAAUGAGAUAUCUGAAUAUGUAGUCAGUAAAAUUUUAACUAUAAUUUGCAACAAUUUACUGAUGCAGAUGACCCAUAGAUGGAAUUUAUUUUUGUAAUGUGACACCUGCAUCCAACCACAUAAUAUGAUGAAUUAAAAAAAGUCAUAUGUAUGCAAUAGUUGAGUUCUGUAGUGAUCUGGUUAUUAAUUUAUACUCAGAGCAUGAAUAUAUACGAUUGCAACGCAUGGGCACUUGAUUUAUAGCUUAUGAAAAAUAGCAUUAUAAUUUGCACUCUUUCGAGUAUAUAAGGUCAGGGCUGAUCAAUCAGCAACUGUGGUCCUCCGCAGAUCUCCACGAUUCCAUUGGUCAGUCUAAGUAGCAGUGUAGAAAGAAGAAAACUAACCAUAAAAAGGCUUAUGUGUGGCAUGAAUGCAACAGAAGUUAUAGAUGACAACUUGAACAAAAAAAUCCUAUUCGGAGCCAUAUCUAUGAUUGAUAUGCUAUUUGCAAUCACUGCAGAAAGAGCGAAACUUAUAUUGUUUUGUUUUGUUCAAGUGGCGAGUAAGAUGAUUGUGCCUUGAAGAAAUUAACUCUUCUGCAAUAAGCAAAGCAGUGUCGUUUUUUCCCUAGCCUAACCAUGUAGGAUAAAGCAUUGUCACAGGUGUGUACCUGACACUGAGAAGAGAUGGGAGAUUGUCUGAGCGAGGCAGUGGUGUUCGCGGGGAAGGGGCAGGGAGACUAUCAGCAUGCUUCAAUAGCGGCGUGCGACCGCCUAUCUUCCCUUCCCGACAGCAGGCUCGCCCGGCGGUGUGGAGACACGCGAGCUCCGGUGAAGGAGUUGAAUGGAGCAUUUGACCUUCGACCCUGGCUCGGGGAAACGCGAGCAGGCCACAACUCGGGGAACCGUACGGGAGGCGACGGCGGCGAGGCGAUGUCGCAGCGAGGCCACAGCGACCGUUGCCGCUCGAUUCGCCUGCUGCCUGUUUCUUAGUGCACGGCAACAGCGGCAUGGCGAGGUUGUGCAGCGGCUUCACGGUCGCGGACGCAGGGGUCGUAGGUGUCGCCGCCGGCGAGGUCAUCCAGCGGCGUCGCGGUCAUUGGCGAGGUCGUCCGGCGGUGUCGGGGUCGCAGGCGUCGCGUUGUCCAGCAGCAGCACGGCUGUGGUGUCUUGGCGUGGUGGUCUGGCGGCGGUUCCUUAGAGGCUUAGGCCAUGUUUAGAUUGGAGAUGAAAAUUUUUUGGGUGUCACAUCGGAUGUGUCGGAAGGAUGUCGGGAGAAGUUUUUAGAAACUAAUAAAAAAACAAAUUAGAUAGCUCAUCAGUAAACUACAAGACAAAUCUAUUAAGCAUAAUUAAUCUAUUAUUAGCACAUGUGAGUUACUGUAGCACUUAAGGCUGAUUAUGGAGUAACUAGGCUUAAAAGAUUCAUCUCACAUUUUUUAAUUAAACUGUGUAAUUAGUUUAUUUUUUAUGUACAUUUAAUGUUCCAUGCAUGUGUCCAAAAAUUUGAUGGGAUGGACGAAAAAAAUUUGGAUGGGGAACUAAACAGGGCCUUAGAUCUGAGCUGGGGUGGGCGUAGUGAGCGAGAGAUUCUUUUUGAGGAGACAAUAGGGAGAGGGGAGACUGCGUGGGAGGAAGUUUUUUUUUCGAGCGUCGGGAUUAGGGGAGGCAGGCCGAUUAGUUGUAGUAUGACGAUAUCACUUGGGGUUUUUUAGUUGUAGAGAUAUAAUAUAUUUAGACUUGUUUGGCAUAGCUCAACUCUAAUAAUAAUGUUGUUUUUAAAAAAAUAGCUUUAUGAGCAACUUUAUAGGUGAAGUUGAGAUAUUUUAAAAAAAAGAUUUUGAUAAAAUAGCUUCAUCAACUACUUUAUGUAUAGAUGAGAGAGGAAUGGGGGAGGGAGCUGUAAUAAGGCCUUGUUUAGUUUUGGGGGUUUAGGUACUAUAGCACUUUCGUUUUAUUUUACAAUUGUUGUCUAAUUAUGGACUAACUAGGCUCAAAAAAUUAUCUUGUACAGGCAAACUAUGUAAUUAGUUUUUGUUUUCAUCUGUAUUUAAUGCUCUAUGCAUGUGUCACAAGAUUCGAUGUGACGGAGAAUCUUGAAAAGUUCUUGGUUUUUGAGGUGAACUAAACAAGACAUAAGCUACUUUUUUCAGUUUCAUCCUAGGCCUUGUUUAGUUCCAAAAUAUUUUGCAAAAUCGACACUAUAGCUCUUUCGUUUGUAUUUGACAAAUAUUGUCCAAUCAUGGACUAACUAGGCUCAAAAGAUUCGUCUCGUCAAUUUCGACCAAAUUGUGCAAUUAGUUUUUAUUUUUAUCUAUAUUUAAUACUUCAUGCAUGUGUCUAAAGAUUCGAUGUGACGGAGAAUCUGAAAAAUUUUGCAAAAUUUUUUGGAACUAAACAAGGCCCUAACUCAUGUCUUUAUGAGGGGAGAAAAAAAUAGCUUCACCCAUAAAAUUAUUUUAGAAAUAAAUGUUUGACAAAAAACAGUUUAUAAAGCUAUUGUGAGCUAUACUAAACAGACUAUUAAUAGUCUUAUCCAAAUAAUCAAAUGAAAGUGGGAAACGGUGCAUGCAAAAUUAAGCCCGGCAUGAUAUUCAAUCUAUGCUCGGGUCUCACAACUAGUCUAAACAGGUCUAUAUCACCACCUUGCCUAAGCGAGACCCUAAGGGCGAGCGGUGCCAUGGCUGCACUAUUCUAUAUUGUCAUUUGUGAGUUGAAAUGACAUAAUUGCUUAAGUUUGAGGAAUUAUUUAAAUAAAUAAUUUAUGACUUUAGAGGCUGAGAUCACACGAUGAAACAAUUUUAAAGGUAGAAACAAGUAACAUGUGAGUUCAAAGACCGAGAUAACUCAACUAAGCAAGUUUAAAAACUAGCAAUGCACUUUACUCUUCUAAUUUAAGAACCAAGUGAUAGUGUGGCGAGUGGUACAUUUACCGAAUAAUGCCUCCCCAAAGCUGCCUCCCCAAAGCAUAAAUGAUAUUUUUAAUAGAUGGUCAGAGAGGGCUAAUAAGAAACAUAACACGUUAUUUUUGACAAUAGCGCACUUUAUUAAAUAGUUUAGCUGAAACAAGGUGGUUUUUGAUAACCGUAGACCAAAUUUUUUGAUAACCGUAGACCAAAAUUUUUUUAUAGGUACUUUAGCUUCGGCAAUGGGCUGUGAUGAUCAACAAGAUCAGCUUGCCUUGGUUGGGCAGCAUCUAGAGACGUGAGCCUUGCAUUUCUUUACUUUCAAUUGAUGACUGUCAACUAGAUUUUUUAGCUGAUUUUUUAGCUUUACGAGCCUGUUCGCUGGUCUGAAAAGUCAUGUCUGAAAGUAUCGUUUGCUGAUUUAUUAUGAGAGAAAAAACACUGCUAUGUGGCAUAAAAGGUACGGCUUAUAAGACAAGCAAAUGGAGCUAGUCAAUACUUUACCUUAUUUUUAUAUUUUCCUUAUGUUUUGUUGUAAGUUGGAAUACACUAUAGCUUGCGCGCUAGCCUACAGGCUAAAAUUUGUAAUAAUUAACCUGAUUAUAUAUUUAUAUUGGUUGAUAGAUGAAGUUAAACAUAAACUAUUCUUUAUUUAUUUUUAAAAAUUUACAAAAGUUGUUUCAUCCUUUGCCCGCUAACGAUCAAACUCUAGUUUUGACUCAUUUUUCUAUUUGUAGGCAGCACAGUCAUGCCUCCAUGACGACGGUGAUGGAAGUGAGCCCCCCCCCCGGCGAUGUUUCCCAUGUGGUAGGGUAAAAAUAAAUAAAAAAUGGUAACCACAAAUAUGAAAAUAGAAACAUUUUGGGCCCCUAACGGUUAUUGGUUUAUUUUACUCCCACAUCACUAUCAUUGGGUAUUUGAAUCUCCCAUAAGGCCGAUGCCAUAUUUAUUUAAUAGAUAACAUAUUUGAUUUGUUCACGAGGGAAAAUGUGAAACUUUCAUGGUCUAUUUGUUAUGGCGAAUGAAUUCACCCGACAUGAGCUUGUCAAAAACAGAAUGAGUCAAUCUGGAACUUUCAUGGUAUAAUGUAGUUGUUGGUUCGAUCUGUUAGAAUUAACUCUCUGAGGAAGCACUCGGCGAUGAACGGUGUGAUUCCACGCUUCAAACCAAAUAUAAUAUUCAAUUUGUUAGCUUCAGCUGUAGGUUCGAAUCAUUAUAGAUUGCCUUGUUCUGUAUAAACCAAACAUGGUGUAAACAUGGGGCUUUUCUAGUUGUUUCUUAUCAUUUGAACACAAUGAUAUUUCUUGUGACUUUUUUUUUACUUUUACGAUCUACUACCUCUAUUCUAAAUUAUAAGUUAUUUUAAUUUUUCUAGAUUUAUAAGUUUUACUAUAUAUCCCUAAAUGCAUAGCAAAAGUUAUACACAUAAAAAAGCCAAAACGGCUUACAAAUUGAAAUAGAGAGACUACUAUCGAAGACCUUUGUAUGAUGUAUGACAGAUAGAUUGGACGUGCAUACUCCAUAAGAAAAGGUUUGCACGCAGGUGUUUCACAAAAUUUAUUUUUAACCCUCUCAUAAACUUUCUAUACUUCUUUCUCUAUAGUUCUUUUUUUGAGAAACCUAUACUUCUCUUUAAUUUUGAUCCUAGCGGCCCAUCUUUGACCACGCUCAAUGGGCCAGAUCCAUGCAAAGCCCGCAAAGACCGCGUCUUUUGCAAACCUGUUUUCAGAAUCUUGUCCCGAAACCCGCGGGCCCACCUGCCAGUGAGGCAUCGCCCACGAAAUCCAGCAGCGAAAGAACCAGCGCGGCAGCAGCUCCCGCGGUUUCUUUUUUUUCGCGGCGCGCCAUUACGAAAAAGCUCUUCCCGCCGGCGCGCCCCGCGCGACAGAAUCCUCCUCCAUUAAACCCCUCGCGCUCAAUGCCUGCCCGCCAUUUCCUUUCCCUCUCUCCGUCAGCGCCUCUGCCCAUCUCUCUCUCUCAUCUCUCUGACUCAUGGCGACGCGGCGGCGCCUCUCUCCGACUUUCUUCGGCGGUCUACGGGCCCGGGAGCUCGGCGGCGCCAGUGGCUGCUCCCGCGCCAUGGCGGGGCUCCCGUACCUCGCUGACCUCUCCUCCGACCCCGGCGGCCGUGGCGGCGGGGUCAUAGCCGUCGACCACUCCGGCGACGCCGCCAUCCCCUUCGCCAUCUCCUUCGGCAAGGUUCGGAGCCUGGGAUCUGUCCCCCCCCCCCCCCCCCCCCCUCCUAAACAAGGGAUCUCUCAUUUCUCGCGUGCUUUUGCAAAGUCAAACCUUCUUUCUAGCUGCUAUUUGCGAGUACCAAUCUUUUGAUGAAAUUGCCUCGUUCGUCCAGACUGCACAGACCUGUAACCUCCUGGCGGUCGCCGACGAAGACGGGUACGUUGGCCUCUACGACACCCGCCGGCGCCUCCCUUCCGCAUCCUCGUCAAUAGAGAAGUCAGGUGGGUUGGAAACCUUCACUGCUCCCCCGAUUCGAUCCAAGAUUUGGGUGUGCUAGACCUUACGCCGGGUACCUCGUGCGAUCCGUUCUGUUCCAAUCUGACGUCGUCCUUUGCAGCUGAAACGAGGGUGUCCGACUGGGUUGCUCACAACAAUGCAAUCUUUGACGUGUGCUGGAUCAAGGUAAAUUCACUUGCACUGAUUGGAACACUCCAACGAAAUAGCCGCUCCUCAGGUUAAAAUUUCAUCAAUAUGUGUACCUUUCUGACGGAGUUUCAAUCUUAUGUGUUACUAAUGUAGGAGGGAUCCCAAAUGCUGACUGCAUCGGGCGAUCAAACUGUAAGUCGCAACAGGAUCACACCAAUUAUUGAACUAUGAAUUCAUUGUAUUAUGCAAAAUCUCAUUACUAUCGUUCUGCAUCAGGUCAAAAUAUGGAGUGUAGGAAACAGGAAAUGCAUUGGUGUCUUGUCAGGACAUACUGGGAGUGUGAAGUCGCUGUCUUGCCAUUCUUCAAAUCCUGGUUAGUAAUGUAUAUCCUGAAUGGCUGAAGCCUUUCAGUUUACUUUUAUGCAGAUUUAAUCCUCAAAGGUUGGCCACAAACUCCUGUUUAAGUAGUUUAUUUUCUUUGCAGAGCUCAUUGUUUCUGGUUCAAGGGAUGGUUCAUUUGCUCUUUGGGAUCUAAGAUGCGACCCUAAAUCUCCAAACAGCCAUGGUGAAACGUGCCUCACGUAUGUUGCCUAUUGCUAGUAAAUGUUCUCUUUAAACUACAAAUUAAGUGAUCAUAAAUGUUUGUAGCGACAAUACAAAUUCAUUGAACAAAGUUCUGCUACAUGUUAGGUCUUCUGCUGUUGUCAGAGAAGCCCACAGUCCCAUACAGAGGAACCGAACCCGGUCUCGAGCAAAGGUAUUAAAUUGGCAUGAUAUGGCUUUUGCUUGUGACGAUCUUAUGUCCUCUUAUGCCCUCUUAUGCUUAUGUUGGUUUGCUGAAAUUGGUGAAUUUAGGCGGCUUCAACAAGUAUCACAUCAGUUCUUUAUCUGAAAGAUGAUGUCUCCAUUGCUACUUCUGGAGCUGCAGACAAGUAAGCUGCUCUUUCAUUUUUAUUCUGCUUUUUAUUUUUUAACCAACCUUCACAGUUUUUGUAUGGUUUGUAUAGUUUUAUUAAUUGCUAUGUUAUUUUAAACACAAUGCACUUACCUGACGAUGAGUUAGCCUCAUGUCAUCUACUCAUUCUGUUUCUUAAAAAAAUCAGUUUUGUAGAGUAAUUAUCAUAUUUUCAUGUAUCUUGAAAUACUAAUAUUGUACUUUUUUAAAUGUACGCCAGUGUUGUGAAGAUAUGGGAUACACGGAACCUGAAAGUGCCGGUCUCUAACAAAAGCUCUCAAGCAGGGGCCCAGCCUUUGGUAAACAUCUCUAUCCACUAAUGAAUGUUAAACUAGUAGUACAAAAAAAGCACAUUAUCUAAAAAAGUACAAAAAACAAUAGGGAAUUGUGUAUUUCAGAGUAUAAACAUGUAUGCCAAUUUGAAUCAAUAAUUACAGAGUGCUGUGUUUUCAUAGCUCAAUCUGAACAAACUUGGUCCUUUGUUUCUGAAGGAGGGGGUGAAACAUGGCAUCUCUUGCCUGUCUCAAGAUUCGUGUGGUGCAUACAUUGCUGCGUCAUGUAUGGAUAACAGGUAAAUUCAGACCCUGUCAUCAGACACUAAAAUUUUUUCAUGCUAUUGGUAAAUACUGAUUUUGACCGUAUGCAUUUCAGAAUCUAUUUGUACAGUGUUCUCCAUGUGAACAAGGGUCCCAUAAAGGCUUACACUGGCAGCAAAAUAGAGUCUUUCUUUGUCAAGGUCAGUGAGUGGCUAUCUUGGGCUGACUUCCUUUAAAUGUCGAGCUGCUUAUGUUUAGUUUGAUCAAUAUUUGUUCUGAAACACCUAAACUUUGUAUCAUGCAGUCUGCUAUCAGUCCUGAUGGAACUCACAUCCUUGGUGGAUCAAGUGAUGGAAAUGUAUACCUGUGGCAGGUACUUGUCGCAGAUCUGUUGCCUGCUUUCUUACACUAUACUACAUCAUUAUAAUAUUUACAUCCAUGCUUGUCCAUUGACAUAGGUGGAUCGACCUGAAAGUGCUCCUAUAGUUUUGAAAGGCCAUGAAGGCGAAGCAACUUCGGUUGACUGGUACGAUCUACAAACAUAAAUAUUUCUGUGGAACCCUUACUGAUAACCCAAUCCUCAUGCUUCAAUAUGAAUUUAUAUUUCAGGUGUGCAUCAGAGGUUGGAAAGAUAGCAACAUCUUCUGAUGAUUCUACGGUAAGUCUACUUGGUUAUGCCUGAAUUUUUUUUCUUGACACAUACUAAAGAUGGCUCCAUUUGUUCAAUAUAUCAUAUGUGUUUGCGACAGUCUGUUGUAGACAAGAGCAUCUACAAUUUUUGUGCAAAGCAAUGCAUAUCAGAGUAUGAAAUGAAUCAGAAUUCAGAACAUGUGACAAUUCUGUAUUCUGUGUAUCAGGUACGUGUGUGGAGUACCAAGAAAAUGGACUGCACAAAUGUAAGCUCACCAACAGUGAUUCGGAAGCGGAUAACUGCACCAAACACUGAGUACCGAAGGUCCAGUAGCCAUGAGCAUGCUACUACAUCAAGAGAUGCAGUUGCCUGCACUAGUGGUGAUGGUGAAUUGCAAAGUGGUUGCCACUCUCCCCUUCAACCCAGAGCACUGGACUUCGGCACUCCUGAAUCGACAAAGAAGAGGGCCUUCACAUUGGUCCAGGAGGAGGCCCUUGAUGCAAGGAAGAGCCCGGAAGUUCAGAUGAACAGUCCCUCUUCUGUUCUGAGCCCACCACCGUCAUUGAAACGGAGAACGAUUCGGGACUACUUUGCCAGUGCUGCAUCUUGAAUCCUGACAAAUAGCUGGUCCUCAGAAUUCUUAGUGGCCCUGACCCAUGAAGACUAGGGCUUUCUUUAACUUAACUUAUGGUGAAACAGCUCCAAAUUUUGGGAAAUUCUUCUGUAGGUCUAGUUGUGUGAAGUUCAUUAUUGAUCAUUUGGAAAUGCGGUUGUACAUAAUUUGGUAUUGCAGAACCACCCUCUUUACUUUGUAAUAUUGUUUUUUUUUUUCAAUUGAGCUCGGUCUGACAGAAUUGCAGAAAUAUUUCAAUCAAUCUCUAUAAAUUCAAAGGGCAUCUUCAGUUAAAGCUUGCAUGCAACCGUAAAAUUUCCUGGUGAGGUAGGCGUCUUCGAGACUUAGAGCACAGAGAGCACUGUGCUUUGUCAUGCGUCAUUUACUCGUUUUAGAGCUAUGAAGCAUCGCCAAAUUUGUAUCCAAUUCAACCCCCGUCUUGGAUCAUAGGAUUGUUUUUUUUUAGAAAACAGGAGGAGCUUACACCCCUACUGAAGUUUAUUAAAAUUAAAAAAAGAAAGAAAAAGAGUACAUGAGAAGUUCAGAGUUUGCAAUAGUUAUUGCAAAAGUGUCCGUUGGGAAUUUAUUCAUUUAAUAUAGUCAUUGGAAACAUUGUCAGUUUGUCACUGCAAAAGUAGCCAUCGAAAUUACGAAGUAUAUUCCUACAAAUUAUACCCAUUCAAAUUGACACGAUUAAAAUUAACUGUUUCAGUGGAAAUACUAAGCUAAAUAAAGAAGUUAUUGGAGUGGGCUCAAAAAUAGAGAGCCAGCAAGUCUGAAAUAGCAAAAUAUGUUGUUGCUUUAUGGCAUAGAGAUACUCCUGCAGGCUGGAGAGAAGGGUGAUGAACUGGUUAUUUGAAUCCUACGAAGCUCCCAGUCAAUUUGAAUUUGAAUUCUCUAACACGACAGUACAACAUCUACUGGGCCAUAAGUUACCAACCAACUACGCUAGCCGACUCGGCCACCGUCUGCUGUCUGGCGCUGUCCAUGCACAUGUGCACACAUGUACACCGCUUGGCGCUGGCACGCACCCAACGACACACCUGACAGCCCGGGACUCCCGCCUCCGGCCCGCGCGUGCCGUGUCAGCCUCCGUCGAGCGGUGUACUCCAUGCAAGCCUCCACCCCGGCCACGUACCCCCCUCCCUUCCCCUACGUGUCACCGCUCUCGCCACCUAUAUACGGCGGCGGCCUCGGCCAGGCCUUUCCACUUCACUUCUCCCUCCUGCAACUGCAAAGCUCCUUGAUCCACCCUCGAUCACUCACUCCACCACCGCGGCCGCAGCGCGCGCGCACCGCGCAAACAACCAACUCGGCAGCGACAGCAAUGGCGGAUCGCGACCGCAGCGGCAUCUACGGCGGCACCUACGGGCAGCAUCAGCAGGGGGGCGGCCGCCCGAUGGGUGAGCAGGUGAAGGGCAUGAUCCAGGACAAGGGUCCCACGGCGUCGCAGGCGCUGACGGUGGCGACGCUGUUCCCGCUGGGCGGGCUGCUGCUGGUGCUGUCGGGCCUGGCGCUGGCGGCCUCCGUGGUGGGGCUGGCGCUGGCCACGCCCGUGUUCCUGCUCUUCAGCCCCGUGCUCGUCCCGGCCGCGCUGCUCAUCGGGACGGCCGUGACGGGGUUCCUCACGUCGGGCGCGCUGGGGCUCGGGGGACUCUCCUCGCUCACGUGCCUCGCCAACACGGCGCGGCAGGCGUUCCAGCGCACCCCGGA